Molecule: long non-coding RNA, 410 nt
Organism: Agrilus planipennis (emerald ash borer)
Lineage: Eukaryota; Metazoa; Arthropoda; Insecta; Coleoptera; Buprestidae
Exons: 3
Source: RefSeq, a predicted model, not a curated record
AUGGUUUUUUGUAGAAAGUUAUUCAAAUUUAAAUCUAUUUACCAGCGGAAGUAGGUGGCAGCACUAGGCCGGCGUUAGUACAGAGAAGUUUGCGUGCGUGCGUUUGUUCGAAUUUAGGAUGUGUUUUUUCGGCAAAAAAUACCAUUUUCGUGAAUAAUUUCCGUUGAAAUGUUGUGUAAGACAUUAGACACGUCUUUUAAAAGUGUUUUUUGCUUUGAACUGGACAACUGUGUGCCCCAAUAUCAUCACCAACUCCUCCUCCAGAAGAUGAUUCUCAAAAGCUUCUGGAACCCUUAGGAGUCACUUACAGCAUUCAAGGGUAGCACAGUUGAGGAUUUGUGGUUACGGUCAGUUUAAGAAGAUGAAGAUGAAGAUGGUUCAGUAGCAGAGACAUACAGUUAAUGGUAUCG